This 253-nucleotide ribosomal RNA is filed under the name uncultured bacterium. RNAcentral describes it as "partial 16S ribosomal RNA". It matches the Rfam family "Bacterial small subunit ribosomal RNA", at positions 524 to 776 of the family's 1533-position model. The record is from RNAcentral.
GACGAAGGUGGCAAGCGUUACUCGGAAUUACUAGGUGUAAAGCGUGGGCAGGUGGUUUGGUAAGUCUGCUGUGAAAGCUCCCGGCUUAACUGGGAGAGGCCAGUGGAUACUGCCAGGCUUGAAUAUGGGAGAGGUGACUGGAAUUCCUGGUGUAGCGGUGAAAUGCGUAGAGAUCAGGAGGAACAUCGAUGGCGAAAGCAGGUCACUGGACCAUUAUUGACACUCAUCCACGAAAGCUGGGGGAUCAAACAGG